RNAcentral lists this transfer RNA (71 nucleotides) under Marmota monax (woodchuck). Its description in RNAcentral is "tRNA.Ala". It matches the Rfam family "tRNA". Rfam says of the family: Transfer RNA (tRNA) molecules are approximately 80 nucleotides in length. Their secondary structure includes four short double-helical elements and three loops (D, anti-codon, and T loops). The record is from RNAcentral. Lineage: Eukaryota; Metazoa; Chordata; Mammalia; Rodentia; Sciuridae.
GGGGUUGUGGCUCAGCGGUAGAGCACUUGCCUAGCAAGUAUGAGGCCCUGGGUUCGAUCCUCAGCACCACA